This is a long non-coding RNA of Cyprinus carpio carpio, 648 nucleotides long. Lineage: Eukaryota; Metazoa; Chordata; Actinopteri; Cypriniformes; Cyprinidae. The record is from Ensembl.
UGAAGAUCAUGGCCUGUUCGAGGGUGUCUUUGUCUGUAAAGAUGAAGAUGUUUCCAAGUUUGUGGACUACAUUAAUGCUAAGACAAAGCACUCAGCUGGAAAAGGUGUCUGUGGAUCAAGUCAAUGGAGUGCAGCACGGGAGUCUGUCCCAAAGAAAAUCAACAAGCUGGAUGAGGAGGGGAUGGAGGUGGCUGUCUGUCGACAUGGUGUGCUCCUGAGAAGUCUGAACAUGAUGAGGGGGGAAAUAUUUGCGUAUCCCCUGUUUCUCCAAAAAGAGCUGACUGCAAAGAAUGUGCAGUUCAUGUGCACUGAUGUUAUAUGCAAGUACUGGCCAUACCUGCAGAGAAUUGUUAAAGAUUGUCCAGAGCUCUCUCCUCUCCUGGACAUGAAGCCUUUCCUGUCAGUGAUGCAUGCAAAGGCCCACUCUUGGAAAUGUGAGAUUAAAUGGGGUGGUCGAAACCAAGAAGGAGCAGGCACCACCCUGGGGGAAGAGGUCGAACAAGUUAACAGCUUUUUGUCGAGAACUGCUAUAUGCAGUAAAUACAUGACCAAAGGAGGCAAAACAGACAUGAUUACAAUCCAGGCCAUGGCAUGGAAUCAGCGCAAAAUACGGAAACUUGCAAAAGCGCUGUCCCUAAGAUUUAAAAA